UUUUUUUUUUUUUGAGAGAGACGAAGAUUAAUUGGAACAAAUAAAACCUAGUAAAAAUAAAGAGAGAUUUGGGGAAAUAAUAAUGGGAUUCUUCUAUUUUUUUAUUUGUUGAGAGAAUGCGUGCAUAAAUAUAUAUUUAUAAGGAUUGUGCUUGUGUUGUGUGAGUGGGAAGAAAUUGAAGGGGGUUUGGAAACAGAGACAGAACAGAACUCAAAGGAGUUUCUUUUGUUUAAUUAAUUACAUACGAAUGAAAGCGUGUCCUGUGAAUGUGAAUGUGAAUGUGAAUGUCCUUUUAAGAUAGAAUCUAAAACUUAC
This 315-nucleotide long non-coding RNA is filed under the name Citrus maxima (pomelo). RNAcentral's name for it is "long non-coding RNA (CMAX_LNC000626)". Lineage: Eukaryota; Viridiplantae; Streptophyta; Magnoliopsida; Sapindales; Rutaceae. The record is from RNAcentral.